AUGUCAGACUCCGGUGGACAGAUCAGCAUCUCACAGUCUCCGGCCACUUUCUCUCUGAUGGUGAACGAGAGUGUGACCAUGCGGUGCAGUGCAUCUAAGGAUAUUAAUGAUGAUAUGGCCCUCUACCUGAUCCGGCCUGGAGCUGCCCCCAGACUCCUUAUGUAUGAGCUGCACACGGUGCGCAAGUUCUCUCAGGCUCGUUACAGUGGUUCCUGGAAAAGCGGCUCCAAGGACUUUACAUUCUCCAUCAGGAAUGUUCAGUUUGAAGAUGAAGGGAUGUACUUCUGUGGACAGUACAACCAGUCGCCGACACAGUGA
Molecule: non-coding RNA, 318 nt
Organism: Anguilla rostrata (American eel)
Lineage: Eukaryota; Metazoa; Chordata; Actinopteri; Anguilliformes; Anguillidae
Source: the annotation of a RefSeq genome assembly